RNAcentral lists this unclassified non-coding RNA (380 nucleotides) under uncultured bacterium. RNAcentral's name for it is "contains 16S-23S intergenic spacer region". The record is from RNAcentral.
UCACGUCUUGCGACGGCAGUUUCACUAGAGUUCCCGGCAUUACCUGAUGGCAACUAGUGAUGGGGGUUGCGCUCGUUGCGGGACUUAACCCAACACCUCACGGCACGAGCUGACGACAGCCAUGCAGCACCUGUGCACGAUCUCCGAAGAGGGGCUCUCGUUUCUGAGAGCUUGCUCGUACAUGUCAAGCCUAGGUAAGGUUCUUCGCGUUGCAUCGAAUUAAACCACAUGCUCCGCUGCUUGUGCGGGCCCCCGUCAAUUCCUUUGAGCUUUAGCCUUGCGGCCGUACUCCCCAGGCGGGGCACUUAAUGCGUUAGCGCCGGCACGGGAGGAGUCGACACCUCCCACACCUAGUGCCCAUCGUUUACGGCGUGGACUAC